GAUGAACGCUAGCGGGAGGCUUAACACAUGCAAGUCGAGGGGCAGCAUAGGGUAGCAAUACUCUGAUGGCGACCGGCAAACGGGUGAGUAACGCGUAUGCAACCUACCCUGUACAGGGGGAUAACCCGGAGAAAUUCGGACUAAUAUCCCGUAAUAAUAUCCGGAGGCAUCUUUGGAUAUUUAAAGUUUCGACGGUACGGGAUGGGCAUGCGUAACAUUAGCUGGUUGGUAAGGUAACGGCUUACCAAGGCUAUGAUGUUUAGGGGUCCUGAGAGGGUGGUCCCCCACACUGGUACUGAGACACGGACCAGACUCCUACGGGAGGCAGCAGUGAGGAAUAUUGGUCAAUGGGCGCAAGCCUGAACCAGCCAUCCCGCGUGCAGGAAGACGGCCCUAUGGGUUGUAAACUGCUUUUCCAGGGAGAGAAACUUACGCACGUGUUGCGUGACUGACGGUACCCUGGGAAUAAGCAUCGGCUAACUCCGUGCCAGCAGCCGCGGUAAACAU
This 507-nucleotide ribosomal RNA is filed under the name uncultured bacterium. RNAcentral's name for it is "bacterial SSU rRNA". It matches the Rfam family "Bacterial small subunit ribosomal RNA", at positions 28 to 526 of the family's 1533-position model. The record is from RNAcentral.